UGGAGGGCACGUCCAUGGAGUGGCUCUGCAGACACCUGGAGAACGGGAAGGAGACGCUGCAGCGCACGGACUCCCCAAAGACACAUGUGACCCACCACCCCAUCUCUGACCAUGAGGCCACGCUGAGGUGCUGGGCCCUGGGCUUCUACCCUGCGGAGAUCACACUGACCUGGCAGUGGGAUGGGGAGGACCAAACUCAGGACACGGAGCUUGUGGAGACCAGGCCAGCAGGGGAUGGAAUCUUCCAGAAGUGGGCAGCUGUGGUGGUGCCUUCCAGAGAGGAGCAGAGACACAUGUGCCAUGUGCAACUUGAGGGGCUGCCGGAGCGCCUCGCCCUGAGAUGGGGUAAGGAGGGGAAUGGGGGGGAAUCACGCCUCUUCUCAGAAAAAGCAGGAGCCCUUCUGGAGCCUUUAGCAGGGUCAGGACUGAGACCUGGGGUCAGGGACCUUCACGUUUCUCUCCUUUCCCAGACCUGUCUUCCCAGCUCACCAUCCCCAUCAUAGGCAUUGUUUCUGGCCUGGGUGUCCUAGGAGCUGUGGUCACUGGAGCUGUGGUCAUUGCUGUGAUGUGUAGGAAAAAGAGUUCAGGUGAAGAUAGAGGGAGCUACUCUCAGGCUGCGUGCAGUGACAGUGCCCAGGGCUCUAAUGUGUCUCUCACAGCUUGUAAAGCCUGAGACAGCUGCUUGUGUGGGACUGAGAUGUGGGAUUUCUUCACGCCUCCCCUUUGUGACUUCAAGAGCCUCUGGCAUCUCUUUCUGCAAAGGCAUCUGAAUGUGCCUGCAUCCCUGUUAGCAUAAUGUGAGGUGGUGGAGAGAUAGCCCACCCCGUGUCCACCGUGACCCCUGUCCCCACGCUGACCUGUGUUCCCUCCCCAGUCAUCUUUCCUGUUCCAGAGAAGUGGGGCUGGGUGUCUCCAUCUCUGUCUCAGCUUCAUGGUGCACUGAGCUGCAACCUCUUACUUCCCUACUGAAAAUAAGAAACUGAAUAUAAAUUUGUUUCUCAAAUAUUUGCCAUGAGAGGUUGACGGGUUAAUUAAAUAAGUCGUUUCCUAAAAUUUGACAGAGGAAAUAAAGACCUGAGAACCUUCCAG
This is an RNA transcript of Sapajus apella (tufted capuchin), 1089 nucleotides long. It is a transcript of the gene named HLA class I histocompatibility antigen, A alpha chain-like, with no coding region annotated. The transcript has 5 exons. The record is from RefSeq and is a predicted model, not a curated record. Lineage: Eukaryota; Metazoa; Chordata; Mammalia; Primates; Cebidae.